This 115-nucleotide ribosomal RNA is filed under the name Acanthosepion pharaonis. The record is from RNAcentral. Lineage: Eukaryota; Metazoa; Mollusca; Cephalopoda; Sepiida; Sepiidae.
UUACGGUCAAAUCACGCUGAAAAAAACCGGUUCUCGUUCGAUCACCGAAGUUAAGCAUCGUAGAGCCAGGUCAGUACUUAGAUGGGGACCGCUUGGGAACACCUGGUACUGUAAG